RNAcentral lists this long non-coding RNA (310 nucleotides) under Malus domestica (apple). RNAcentral's name for it is "long non-coding RNA (MDOM_LNC017826)". The record is from RNAcentral. Lineage: Eukaryota; Viridiplantae; Streptophyta; Magnoliopsida; Rosales; Rosaceae.
AUGCAUAAAUGCAUGAGCUAAAUCUUUUAAAUGAUGUUAAGGACCUCGAUCAAAAUAUUUAAACAAACAAGGUUUCAGUCUAACAAUUAGGUUGAUUAAGGACCGGAACCAAAAUGACCUUAUUUAUUAAAACGAAGUCCAAACGGACGAAUUACACCUUACAAAACCCCAGAAAGAACCAUCACAUAUAAAAAAGACGUCACUUAUGCAAAUAAAGCAUGAGUAAUGGUUUUUUACUGUUGCAAUUACAAAAUAGUACCUAAAUGAAAAAUCAUAAACGGUUUUUAACUCAAAAGGUAAAGUCCUCCAC